GAGAGAGGGAUAGAGAGGUAGAGGGAGAGAGGGAGAGAGGGAUAGAGAGGUAGAGGGAGAGAGGGAGAGAGGGAUAGAGAGGUAGAGGGAGAGAGGGAGAGAGGGAUAGAGAGGUAGAGGGAUAGAGAGUGAAAGGGAGAGAGGGAUAGAGAGGUAGAGGGAGAGAGGGAGCGAUGGAGAGGGGGAUAGAGAGGUAGAGGGAGAGAGGGAUAGAGAGGUAGAGAGGGAUAGAGAUAGAGAUAGAGGGAGAGAGAGAGAGGGAUAGAGAGGGAGAGAGGGAUAGAGAGGUAGAGGGAGAGAGGGAGAGAGGGAUAGAGAGGUAGAGGGAGAGAGGGAGAGAGGGAUAGAGAGGUAGAGGGAGAGAGGGAGAGAGGGAUAGAGAGAUAGAGGGAGAGAGGGAGAGAGGGAUAGAGAGGUAGAGGGAGAUAGGGAGAGAGGUAGAGGGAUAGAGAGGGAUAGAGAGGUAGAGAGAGAGAGGUAGAGGGAUAGAGAGGUAGAGGGAUAGAGAGGGAU
Molecule: long non-coding RNA, 513 nt
Organism: Oncorhynchus tshawytscha (Chinook salmon)
Lineage: Eukaryota; Metazoa; Chordata; Actinopteri; Salmoniformes; Salmonidae
Source: Ensembl